AGUGAUCACUACCUUCAGCUGAAUAAAGUCAGAAUGUAUUUGAUACAGGCCCUGUCUACAAAUAUUACAUUCAUCUAGCCUGACUUGGAUCUUCGAGCACAACCCCAAAGUGGAGAUAAGCCUUUAAGACCCCUCACAAGAGAGUUUUUGAGGUGGUUUCUGACUGUUUAUGGGACAACAAAAGGGCAUGCAGAAUUAAGAGCAACGAGGAAGAGAAGAACAGUGGGCCAGUCUCUUAUCAGUGCUGACCAGUGCAAAUGAUUAACCCGACCUCCUAAAAAUACCACCUGAACACCAGUUCAUUAGUUUUUGGAUCAUUAUACCAGGACCAAAGAAUGGUGGAAAGGACUGAGUUCCGUAGGUGGCUUGCAAUGGUAGCAAGGAAAAAUAGGAAUCAAAAAAGAAGAAUGCCCUGGAUGCCAAGAUCCAGGUUGGGGACACAAACUCUUUCUUGAGAGAUUCUCACAAACAACUAUGUUCCUGAUAGGAAAGCACCUCUAGUUGGAGAGAGAAAUAUAUAGAAGUAAUAAAUAAAACGUAGUGAAUGGUGGUAUUAUAUUUUCUAAUAAAAUGAAGCUUAAUUUCACUCAGGUUCAAAA
Long non-coding RNA from Podarcis raffonei (Aeolian wall lizard), 599 nucleotides. RefSeq lists it as uncharacterized. NCBI's taxonomy places the organism in Eukaryota, Metazoa, Chordata, Lepidosauria, Squamata, Lacertidae. The record is from RefSeq and is a predicted model, not a curated record. The transcript has 2 exons.